RNAcentral lists this ribosomal RNA (518 nucleotides) under uncultured Streptomyces sp. RNAcentral's name for it is "bacterial SSU rRNA". It matches the Rfam family "Bacterial small subunit ribosomal RNA", at positions 143 to 675 of the family's 1533-position model. The record is from RNAcentral. Lineage: Bacteria; Bacillati; Actinomycetota; Actinomycetes; Kitasatosporales; Streptomycetaceae.
ACAAGCCCUGGAAACGGGGUCUAAUACCGGAUAUGACUGUCCAUCGCAUGGUGGAUGGUGUAAAGCUCCGGCGGUGCAGGAUGAGCCCGCGGCCUAUCAGCUUGUUGGUGAGGUAGUGGCUCACCAAGGCGACGACGGGUAGCCGGCCUGAGAGGGCGACCGGCCACACUGGGACUGAGACACGGCCCAGACUCCUACGGGAGGCAGCAGUGGGGAAUAUUGCACAAUGGGCGAAAGCCUAAUGCAGCGACGCCGCGUGAGGGAUGACGGCCUUCGGGUUGUAAACCUCUUUCAGCAGGGAAGAAGCGAAAGUGACGGUACCUGCAGAAGAAGCGCCGGCUAACUACGUGCCAGCAGCCGCGGUAAUACGUAGGGCGCAAGCGUUGUCCGGAAUUAUUGGGCGUAAAGAGCUCGUAGGCGGCUUGUCACGUCGGUUGUGAAAGCCCGGGGCUUAACCCCGGGUCUGCAGUCGAUACGGGCAGGCUAGAGUUCGGUAGGGGAGAUCGGAAUUCCUGGUG